GGACGGACUUCUGGAGAGACCUUAUUAGGCGCCGAAGGGGCAAGGCAUACUGCUCAAUCUCUCAGGCAAAAGGACAGAAGGUAAAAU
Molecule: regulatory RNA element, 87 nt
Organism: Streptococcus pyogenes M1 GAS
Lineage: Bacteria; Bacillati; Bacillota; Bacilli; Lactobacillales; Streptococcaceae
Rfam family: Glycine riboswitch aptamer
About the family: This family represents the bacterial glycine riboswitch. Glycine riboswitches usually consist of two metabolite-binding aptamers domains with similar structures in tandem. The aptamers cooperatively bind glycine to regulate the expression of downstream genes.
Source: Rfam